AUCAAGAGUUCAGAUGGAAGUGUGACUUGGAAGUCUUUGAACAUAUUGAACGAGCAGGUGGACAUGCCCUUAUUCAGAGUGAAAUCUGACCUGAUUUAUUUUAGUUUAAUCCUCUUUCAGAUUGAACUGAGAAGACUUCAGCUGAGCCCACUUCAUUCAUGAACAAGUGAUGGAGGUUGCAUGCAACAACAAAAUCUGUCAUAGGGCCCAAUCUAAGAUCUAUCUGAGCAGAGUCUUAACUGAAAUCCAGUCCAUGCAGAGACACAGAAGAAUUUGUGCUAAUUAUUCCAGAGGUCUGGGCUCCUAUGGUAGCAAGCGGACUCAAGCAGAAGUGUUUGUCCAUUGGAGGAAACACGUGAUGAUCACUUGGAAAAGGAUAGAGUGUCUUGGCUAUCUGGAUUAUCUCCAAAGAUGCUGACUGCAGAGUGGGCUACCUACUAAUUGGGAGUGUCUCUCUCAUUAUCUUUUAACAAUCACAUGCCUCCUACUCCCACCUGACUCACUUUCAAAGACAGCCUGCAUCUACGACAGCACUCUGCUUCCACGGGGCUGGACUCUGAUAUCAGAACUUCUCCACCGUUGUCGUGAGUCAGAGAAAAGGAAAGGCUGGGAGAAGAAGGGACUGAAUUUCUUCCCUUCACCUUCAUUUAAGGGACAAAACAUCAAAGGAAUAGCUGAAAGACACAAUUACAGAAACGCAUUAGUCAUCUAGGGGUGUUUUGUUUAGCUGUUUUGCUAGAAAGCACGAGCUUUUGAAGUCAAAGCUACCUCUAGGCAUUGCUUCCUGCAACGCCUCCAAAAGGAGAUCAACAAUUGCAAAGGCAGCCAAACCAAACCAGGGCUGGGUUUGUAUCACCUAAUUUUAGAUCUCCAUAUUUCUGCAUCUCAGCAUGUCACUCUGGUCUCCCAGUAUUAAUAACCUCUGGGGAACAAGCCAGCAGAGCACAGGACAUCAAUUUGCCACACCCAAGGAAGGUACAGAGUGGCGAUUAUGCCCAGAUUUCACAGGUCACAUUGCCCUGCUCACCAGAGACUGAGAAAGGAGCCUCCAGGGACAUUUUCAUGUGGAAAUGCCUUCAUCAGAAACACAUACACCAAAUCAGAUGAACCCACCCUUGGUUUCCUGAGGAAAACUGUCUCAGGUCUUAGAAUAAACACAGAUGCUCUGAUAUCA
This 1174-nucleotide long non-coding RNA is filed under the name Anser cygnoides (Swan goose). Its description in RNAcentral is "lncRNA (ENSACDG00005008127.1)". The record is from RNAcentral. Lineage: Eukaryota; Metazoa; Chordata; Aves; Anseriformes; Anatidae.